This 75-nucleotide transfer RNA is filed under the name candidate division MSBL1 archaeon SCGC-AAA261O19. Its description in RNAcentral is "tRNA-Ile". It matches the Rfam family "tRNA". Rfam says of the family: Transfer RNA (tRNA) molecules are approximately 80 nucleotides in length. The record is from RNAcentral. Lineage: Archaea; Methanobacteriati; Methanobacteriota.
GGGCCCGUAGCUUAGCCUGGUGAGAGCGCCCGACCAAUGACCGGGUGGUCAAGGGUUCAAAUCCCUUCGGGCCCA